GAUGAAGAACGCAGCGAAAUGCGAUACGUAAUGUGAAUUGCAGAAUUCAGUGAAUCAUCGAGUCUUUGAACGCACAUUGCGCCCCCUGGUAUUCCGGGGGGCAUGCCUGUCCGAGCGUCAUUGCUGCCCUCAAGCACGGCUUGUGUGUUGGGUCGUCGUCCCCCCGGGGACGGGCCCGAAAGGCAGCGGCGGCACCGCGUCCGGUCCUCGAGCGUAUGGGGCUUUGUCACCCGCUCUUGUAGGCCCGGCCGGCGCUGGCCGACGCUGAAAAGCAACCAACUAUUUCUCCAGGUUGACCUCGGAUCAGGUAGGGAUACCCGCUGAACUUAAGCAUAUCAAUAAGCGGAGGA
Molecule: unclassified non-coding RNA, 350 nt
Filed under: soil metagenome
Description: partial contains 5.8S ribosomal RNA, internal transcribed spacer 2, and large subunit ribosomal RNA
Rfam family: 5.8S ribosomal RNA (bases 1-120)
Source: RNAcentral